RNAcentral lists this small RNA (148 nucleotides) under Pongo abelii (Sumatran orangutan). RNAcentral describes it as "Metazoan signal recognition particle RNA (ENSPPYG00000041742.1)". The record is from Rfam by way of RNAcentral. Lineage: Eukaryota; Metazoa; Chordata; Mammalia; Primates; Hominidae.
GCUGGGUGCAGCAGUGUGCACCUGUAGUCCCAGCUAUGCAGGAGGCUGAGGUGGGAGGAUCUCCUGAGCCCACGAGGUUGAGGCUGCAGUGAGCUAUGAUCACACCACUGCACCCCAGCGUGGGCAACAAAGCAAGACCCCAUCUCUA